RNAcentral lists this long non-coding RNA (1002 nucleotides) under Mustela putorius furo (domestic ferret). Its description in RNAcentral is "lncRNA (ENSMPUG00000025849.1)". The record is from RNAcentral. Lineage: Eukaryota; Metazoa; Chordata; Mammalia; Carnivora; Mustelidae.
GGAAACUGAUGCCCUGACGGUGGAGAGGACCUCCCCGGGGUCACACACGUGACUCACCUCUGCAGACGGGCAUUGGCCGUGAUUCCUGCUGAGGCUGUCCCCAGAACUCACUUGGUAUUGUUGAGGACAUGUGAGAAACGCACCCCCUGCCCCAUUCACUGCUUAGGACUGCGUGGGUUUGAUGAGACAAUCAGCCCUCCCUGAGCUACUAUUUGUUUAUUUUUAGAAAGAUCAGAGGUAUUUAUACCUGGCAGGAUUGGCAGCCAACACUGUCAGGAACUUCUCUAUGUAGUAGACAUUCUAGAAUGUUCCCUUCUUCCUUUGUGCUCUAGUCUGGCCGCCCUGAUACUGAAGACACAGUCUGUAAACCGACACCAGAUCUAUAGGGCCUGUAGAGUCAGCCUAAUCAGCGGGGUACGAUGCCAGUGCUGGGGGACCCUAUAAAGUUGUCGACACUCUUCUGCUAUUCUGUGGCUCCCACACCAGAGACUUCUACUAGACGUCAGUAUUCCAGCUGUCAUUGUCUCAUGGGUUCCCUGCCAUCCGAUGACUUUCCCAGGGAAUAGUUAGGUCCCAUGAAGAUUUCUGUUCUCAUCUGGGAAAAAGUAGGGGAGAACAUUGUAGAGUCACACCCCUUCUGCGCCGCACUGCAUCAUGGGUUACACAGCAGGAAAAGAAGCUUCUGUGAGCCGUCUGCUGGCAGCUCCCUCAUGCUCAGUCACUUAGAUGGUGCCCAGAUGUGCCGACGACUCACUUCAAACACUGGUUUCAGAUGAACGGGUGCAGUAAGGAUGGAAAUAUUUUCAAGUCUACGAGGCUUUUCAGGGAGGGGAAGGAGAAGAUAAACUUCAUUCCAGAGUAAAAUUAAAGUGGCCUUUUUUGCUGAUUUUCUCUGUGUCUCUCCCUGGGUUGUUCCCCUUCAAAGGUACCAGUCCUGAAGCUAGUGGCCUCCAGGGGGCUGCAGCAGGAGAGCAGCUACCUUUAGUUUGCCACCGCCCCCCU